This 31-nucleotide non-coding RNA is filed under the name Rattus norvegicus (Norway rat). The record is from RNAcentral. Lineage: Eukaryota; Metazoa; Chordata; Mammalia; Rodentia; Muridae.
UUACAUUUCAAUUGUUAUUACCUUUCCCAGU